Molecule: small nucleolar RNA, 82 nt
Organism: Otolemur garnettii (small-eared galago)
Lineage: Eukaryota; Metazoa; Chordata; Mammalia; Primates; Galagidae
Source: Ensembl
UGCCCCCCUUUCACUUUGCCAAUUGGACUUAUGUCUUUAUUGGUCAUUUAAGUAGGGCCAAGCAAAUAUCCUUUUAAAANNN